Molecule: ribosomal RNA, 374 nt
Filed under: Cupriavidus sp.
Lineage: Bacteria; Pseudomonadati; Pseudomonadota; Betaproteobacteria; Burkholderiales; Burkholderiaceae
Description: bacterial SSU rRNA
Rfam family: Bacterial small subunit ribosomal RNA
Source: RNAcentral
GCUAGAGUAUGUCAGAGGGGGUAGAAUCACGUGUAGCAGUGAAUGCGUAGAGAUGUGGAGGAAUACCGAUGGCGAAGGCAGCCCCCUGGGACGUCACUGACGCUCAUGCACGAAAGCGUGGGGAGCAAACAGGAUUAGAUACCCUGGUAGUCCACGCCCUAAACGAUGUCAACUAGUUGUUGGGAAUUCAUUUUUUCAGUAACGUAGCUAACGCGUGAAGUUGACCGCCUGGGGAGUACGGUCGCAAGAUUAAAACUCAAAGGAAUUGACGGGGACCCGCACAAGCGGUGGAUGAUGUGGAUUAAUUCGAUGCAACGCGAAAAACCUUACCUACCCUUGACAUGCCACUAACGAAGCAGAGAUGCAUUAGGUGC